Molecule: ribosomal RNA, 253 nt
Filed under: uncultured bacterium
Lineage: Bacteria
Description: partial 16S ribosomal RNA
Rfam family: Bacterial small subunit ribosomal RNA
Source: RNAcentral
UACGUAGGGGGCAAGCGUUGUCCGGAGUCAUUGGGCGUAAAGAGCGUGUAGGCGGCUCGGUAAGUCCGCUGUGAAAGCCCAGGGCUCAACCCUGGAAUGCCGGUGGAAACUGUCGAGCUAGAGUCCGGAAGAGGCGAGUGGAAUUCCUGGUGUAGCGGUGAAAUGCGCAGAUAUCAGGAGGAACGCCAAUGGCGAAGGCAGCUCGCUGGGACGGUACUGACGCUGAGACGCGAAAGCGUGGGGAGCAAACAGG